AUAGACACCUCUUUGGGAGGCUGGGUACAGUGGGUUACGCCUGUAAUCCCAGCACUUUGGGAGGCCGAGGCAGGCAGAUCACCUAAGGUAGGGAGUUCAAGACCAGCCUGACCAACAUGGAGAAACCCCAUCUCUACUAAAAAUACAAAAUUAGCUGGGCGUGGUGGCACAUGCCUGUAAUCCCAGCUACUCAGGAGGCUGAGGCGGGAGAAUUGCUUGAACCCAGGAGGCAGAGAUUGCACUCAGGUUUCAGCUCCUCGGAAUAAAGCAGUUCUUGUGAAGUAAGAAGGGGCCCUAGGAACAGGAAUCCCACCUUGAAGAUUGCUUCUCUAACCUGAACAUUGUCAGCUCAACUUCAGAGCAAAGUCAGGAAACUGCCAGAAAGGGCAGAGCCUGACAGUUUGCACAGCCUGAAGUAAUUCUUCCUCCUGCUCAGAAUGAGUGAUGCUCUGUAAAUGUUAUCACAUCCAGAAGGUCUCCCCACUAUGAUGAAAGGUUUGGACCACGUCUCAGAAAAGAUAGGUGACUGGACUGAGUGGUGGCAAGGGGGCCGAAGAAACUUUUUCCCGUAGAAGAGUGUGUAACCAGUUGGUGGGCAGCAGUUUUUAGGAAGCUGAAUCUCAAAGGUCCAUAGCAGGCCAGAUCUCGCAUGACCACCCCUGUGUUCUUCUCCCGUAACUGUACAUUCAGCUUCCCCUGCACUUUCCCAA
Molecule: long non-coding RNA, 710 nt
Filed under: Pongo abelii (Sumatran orangutan)
Lineage: Eukaryota; Metazoa; Chordata; Mammalia; Primates; Hominidae
Description: lincRNA
Source: RNAcentral